This 691-nucleotide ribosomal RNA is filed under the name uncultured bacterium. RNAcentral describes it as "bacterial SSU rRNA". It matches the Rfam family "Bacterial small subunit ribosomal RNA", at positions 8 to 693 of the family's 1533-position model. The record is from RNAcentral.
AGAGUUUGAUCCUGGCUCAGAUUGAACGCUGGCGGCAUGCCUUACACAUGCAAGUCGAACGGCAGCACGGAGCUUGCUCUGGUGGCGAGUGGCGAACGGGUGAGUAAUAUAUCGGAACGUACCCUAGAGUGGGGGAUAACGUAGCGAAAGUUACGCUAAUACCGCAUACGAUCUAAGGAUGAAAGUGGGGGAUCGCAAGACCUCAUGCUCGUGGAGCGGCCGAUAUCUGAUUAGCUAGUUGGUAGGGUAAAAGCCUACCAAGGCAUCGAUCAGUAGCUGGUCUGAGAGGACGACCAGCCUCACUGGAACUGAGACACGGUCCAGACUCCUACGGGAGGCAGCAGUGGGGAAUUUUGGACAAUGGGCGAAAGCCUGAUCCAGCAAUGCCGCGUGAGUGAAGAAGGCCUUCGGGUUGUAAAGCUCUUUUGUCAGGGAAGAAACGGUGAAAGCUAAUAUCUUUUGCUAAUGACGGUACCUGAAGAAUAAGCACCGGCUAACUACGUGCCAGCAGCCGCGGUAAUACGUAGGGUGCAAGCGUUAAUCGGAAUUACUGGGCGUAAAGCGUGCGCAGGCGGUUUUGUAAGUCUGAUGUGAAAUCCCCGGGCUCAACCUGGGAAUUGCAUUGGAGACUGGCAGGCUAGAAUCUGGCAGAGGGGGGGUAGAAUUCCACGUGUAGCAGUGAAAUGCGUAG